GUUGAUAAGGUUAAGUGAAUAAGGGCGCACGGUGGAUGCCUUGGCACUAGGAGCCGAUGAAGGACGGGACUAACACCGAUAUGCUUUGGGGAGCUGUAAGUAAGCUAUGAUCCAGAGAUUUCCGAAUGGGGGAACCCAAUAUCUUUUAUAGGAUAUUACUUUUCAGUGAAUACAUAGCUGAUUAGAGGUAGACGCAGAGAACUGAAACAUCUUAGUACCUGCAGGAAGAGAAAGAAAAUUCGAUUCCCUGAGUAGCGGCGAGCGAAACGGGAAGAGCCCAAACCAACAAGCUUGCUUGUUGGGGUUGUAGGACUCCAAUAUGGUAGUCUGUUAGUAUAGUUGAAGGAUUUGGAAAAUUCCGCUAAAGAGGGUGAAAGCCCCGUAGACGAAAUGCUGACAACACCUAGGAGGAUCCUGAGUACGGCGGAACACGAGAAAUUCCGUCGGAAUCCGCGGGGACCAUCCCGCAAGGCUAAAUACUCCCUAGUGACCGAUAGUGAACCAGUACCGUGAGGGAAAGGUGAAAAGCACCCCGGAAGGGGAGUGAAAUAGAUCCUGAAACCGUGUGCCUACAACAAGUCAAAGCUCGUUAAUGAGUGAUGGCGUGCCUUUUGUAGAAUGAACCGGCGAGUUACGAUUGCAUGCGAGGUUAAGUCGAAGAGACGGAGCCGCAGCGAAAGCGAGUCUGAAUAGGGCGAAUGAGUAUGUAGUCGUAGACCCGAAACCAUGUGAUCUACCCAUGUCCAGGUUGAAGGUGCGGUAAAACGCACUGGAGGACCGAACCCACGUACGUUGAAAAGUGCGGGGAUGAGGUGUGGGUAGCGGAGAAAUUCCAAACGAACUUGGAGAUAGCUGGUUCUCUCCGAAAUAGCUUUAGGGCUAGCCUCGGAAUUGAGAAUGAUGGAGGUAGAGCACUGUUUGGACUAGGGGCCCAUCUCGGGUUACCGAAUUCAGAUAAACUCCGAAUGCCAUUCAUUUAUAUCCGGGAGUCAGACUGCGAGUGAUAAGAUCCGUAGUCGAAAGGGAAACAGCCCAGACCACCAGCUAAGGUCCCAAAAUAUAUGUUAAGUGGAAAAGGAUGUGGGGUUGCACAGACAACUAGGAUGUUGGCUUAGAAGCAGCCACCAUUUAAAGAGUGCGUAAUAGCUCACUAGUCGAGUGACCCUGCGCCGAAAAUGUACCGGGGCUAAACAUAUUACCGAAGCUGUGGACUACACCAUUAGGUGUAGUGGUAGGAGAGCGUUCUAAGGGCGUUGAAGGUCGAUCGUGAGGACGGCUGGAGCGCUUAGAAGUGAGAAUGCCGGUAUGAGUAGCGAAAGACAGGUGAGAAUCCUGUCCACCGUAUGACUAAGGUUUCCUGGGGAAGGCUCGUCCGCCCAGGGUUAGUCGGGACCUAAGCCGAGGCCGAUAGGCGUAGGCGAUGGACAACAGGUUGAUAUUCCUGUACCAGUUGUUUUUGUUUGAGCAAUGGAGGGACGCAGUAGGCUAAGGAAUGCAUGCGAUUGGAAGUGCAUGUCCAAGCAAUGAGUCUUGAGUAGAGUUAAAUGCUUUACUCUUUAAGGACAAGUUGUGACGGGGAGCGAAAUAAUAGUAGCGAAGUUCCUGAUGUCACACUGCCAAGAAAAGCUUCUAGUGAGAAAACAACUGCCCGUACCGUAAACCGACACAGGUAGUCGAGGAGAGUAUCCUAAGGUGAGCGAGCGAACUCUCGUUAAGGAACUCGGCAAAAUGACCCCGUAACUUCGGGAGAAGGGGUGCUGACUUCGGUCAGCCGCAGUGAAUAGGCCCAAGCGACUGUUUAUCAAAAACACAGGUCUCUGCAAAAUCGUAAGAUGAAGUAUAGGGGCUGACGCCUGCC
This 1858-nucleotide ribosomal RNA is filed under the name Enterococcus faecalis. RNAcentral's name for it is "partial 23S ribosomal RNA". It matches the Rfam family "Bacterial large subunit ribosomal RNA", at positions 1 to 1863 of the family's 2925-position model. Lineage: Bacteria; Bacillati; Bacillota; Bacilli; Lactobacillales; Enterococcaceae. The record is from RNAcentral.